This 271-nucleotide ribosomal RNA is filed under the name uncultured archaeon. RNAcentral describes it as "partial 16S ribosomal RNA". It matches the Rfam family "Archaeal small subunit ribosomal RNA", at positions 477 to 747 of the family's 1478-position model. The record is from RNAcentral.
CAACGCCACAAGUGGGAACCAGAAUUAUUGGGCCUAAAGCGUUCGUAGCCGGUUAUAUCAAUCCUUUGUGAAAUUGUCAAGCUUAACUUGACGAAUGGCAGAGGAUAUUGUAUAACUUGGGACCGGAAGGGGUUAGGGGUAUUUUGUGGGGAGCGGUAAAAUGCUAUAAUCCUCAAAAGACUACCAGUGGCGAAAGCGCCUAACCAGUACGGGUCCGACGGUGAGGAACGAAAGCUAGGGGAGCGAACCGGAUUAGAUACCCGAGUAGUCC